This 497-nucleotide ribosomal RNA is filed under the name uncultured bacterium. RNAcentral's name for it is "partial 16S ribosomal RNA". It matches the Rfam family "Bacterial small subunit ribosomal RNA", at positions 28 to 507 of the family's 1533-position model. The record is from RNAcentral.
GAUGAACGCUGGCGGCGUGCCUAAUACAUGCAAGUCGAGCGAACAGACGAGGAGCUUGCUCCUCUGACGUUAGCGGCGGACGGGUGAGUAACACGUGGAUAACCUACCUAUAAGACUGGGAUAACUUCGGGAAACCGGAGCUAAUACCGGAUAAUAUAUUGAACCGCAUGGUUCAAUAGUGAAAGACGGUUUUGCUGUCACUUAUAGAUGGCUCCGCGCCGCAUUAGCUAGUUGGUAAGGUAACGGCUUACCAAGGCAACGAUGCGUAGCCGACCUGAGAGGGUGAUCGGCCACACUGGAACUGAGACACGGUCCAGACUCCUACGGGAGGCAGCAGUAGGGAAUCUUCCGCAAUGGGCGAGAGCCUGACGGAGCAACGCCGCGUGAGUGAUGAAGGUCUUCGGAUCGUAAAACUCUGUUAUUAGGGAAGAACAAAUGUGUAAGUAACUAUGCACGUCUUGACGGUACCUAAUCAGAAAGCCACGGCUAACUACGUG